AAGGCAUACGACUCAGUAACGCGUAGUCAACCUAACCUAUGGACGGGAAUAACCUCGGGAAACUGAGAAUAAUGCCCGAUAGAACAUUAUGCCUGGAAUGGUUUAUGUUCCAAAUGAUUUAUCGCCGUAGGAUGGGACUGCGGCCUAUCAGUUUGUUGGUGAGGUAAUGGCCCACCAAGACUAUUACAGGUACGGGCUCUGAGAGGAGUAGCCCGGAGAUGGGUACUGAGACACGGACCCAGGCCCUAUGGGGCGCAGCAGGCGAGAAAACUUUGCAAUGUGCGAAAGCACGACAAGGUUAAUCCGAGUGGUUUCUGCUAAAGAAACCUUUUGUCAGUCCUAGAAACACUGAUGAAUAAGGGGUGGGCAAGUUCUGGUGU
This 380-nucleotide ribosomal RNA is filed under the name uncultured archaeon. Its description in RNAcentral is "bacterial SSU rRNA". It matches the Rfam family "Archaeal small subunit ribosomal RNA", at positions 78 to 458 of the family's 1478-position model. The record is from RNAcentral.